This 1071-nucleotide ribosomal RNA is filed under the name uncultured organism. RNAcentral describes it as "bacterial SSU rRNA". It matches the Rfam family "Bacterial small subunit ribosomal RNA", at positions 199 to 1303 of the family's 1533-position model. The record is from RNAcentral.
GAGUAAAGCUCCGGCGCUUCGGGAGAGUGCCUGCGGCCCAUCAGCUAGUUGGUAGGGUAACGGCCUACCAAGGCAGAGACGGGUAGGGGGCGUGAGAGCGCGGACCCCCACACUGGCACUGAGAUACGGGCCAGACUCCUACGGGAGGCAGCAGUAAGGGAUAUUGCGCAAUGGACGAAAGUCAGACGCAGCGACGCCGCGUGGGCGAUGAAGGCCUUCGGGUUGUAAAGCCCUUUUAUGGGGGAAGAGAAAAAGGACGGUACCCCAGGAAUAAGUCCCGGCUAACUACGUGCCAGCAGCCGCGGUAAAACGUAGGGGACAAGCGUUAUCCGGAUUCACUGGGCGUAAAGAGCGUUGAGGCGGUUCCGUAAGUUGGGCGUGAAAGCUCCGGGCUUAACUCGGAGAUGUCGUUCAAUACUGCGGGGCUUGAGGACAGCAGAGGAAGGUGGAAUUCCCGGUGUAGUGGUGAAAUGCGUAGAUAUCGGGAGGAACACCCGUGGCGAAGGCGGCCUUCUGGGCUGUUCCUGACGCUGAAGGCGAAAGCUAGGGGAGCGAACGGGAUUAGAUACCCCGGUAGUCCUAGCUGUAAACGAUGGAUGCUGGGUGUGGGGGGUGUAAAUUCCCUCUGUGCCGAAGCAAACGCGUUAAGCAUCCCGCCUGGGGACUACGGCCGCAAGGCUAAAACUCAAACGAAUUGACGGGGGCCCGCACAAGCAGCGGAGCGUGUGGUUUAAUUCGAUGCUACACGAAGAACCUUACCUGGGUUUGACAUGCACGUGGUAGGGAACCGAAAGGGGACCGACCUUCGGGAGCGUGCACAGGUGCUGCAUGGCUGUCGUCAGCUCGUGCCGUGAGGUGUCGGGUUAAGUCCCGUAACGAGCGCAACCCUUGCCCUUAGUUACAAGUGUCUAAGGGGACUGCCCGGGACAACUGGGAGGAAGGUGGGGAUGACGUCAAGUCAGCAUGGCCUUUAUAUCCAGGGCUACACACACGCUACAAUGGCCGGUACAAUAGGUUGCGAAGUCGUGAGGCGGAGCCAAUCCUCAAAGCCGGUCUCAGUUCGAAUUGCAG